Molecule: ribosomal RNA, 585 nt
Filed under: [Candida] sp. BG00-10-20-1-C1
Lineage: Eukaryota; Fungi; Ascomycota; Saccharomycetes; Saccharomycetales
Description: eukaryotic LSU rRNA
Rfam family: Eukaryotic large subunit ribosomal RNA
Source: RNAcentral
AUAUCAAUAAGCGGAGGAAAAGAAACCAAUUGGGAUUACCUUAGUAACGGCGAGUGAAGCGGUAAAAGCUCAAAUUUGAAAUCUGGUACUUUCAGUGCCCGAGUUGUAAUUUGUAGAAUUUGUCUUUGAUUAGGUCCUUGUCUAUGUUCCUUGGAACAGGACGUCAUAGAGGGUGAGAAUCCCGUUUGGCGAGGAUACCUUUUCUCUGUAAGACUUUUUCGAAGAGUCGAGUUGUUUGGGAAUGCAGCUCAAAGUGGGUGGUAAAUUCCAUCUAAAGCUAAAUAUUGGCGAGAGACCGAUAGCGAACAAGUACAGUGAUGGAAAGAUGAAAAGAACUUUGAAAAGAGAGUGAAAAAGUACGUGAAAUUGUUGAAAGGGAAGGGCAUUUGAUCAGACAUGGUGUUUUUUGCAUGCACUCGCCUCUCGUGGGCUUGGGCCUCUCAAAAAUUUCACUGGGCCAACAUCAAUUCUGGCAGUAGGAUAAAUCAUUAAGAAUGUAGCUACCUCGGUAGUGUUAUAGCUUAUUGGAAUACUGCUAGCUGGGAUUGAGGACUGCGCUUCGGCAAGGAUGUUGGCAUAAUGGUU